This 754-nucleotide ribosomal RNA is filed under the name uncultured archaeon. RNAcentral describes it as "bacterial SSU rRNA". It matches the Rfam family "Archaeal small subunit ribosomal RNA", at positions 102 to 859 of the family's 1478-position model. The record is from RNAcentral.
AGUCAACAUGCCCAGGGGACGUGGAUAACCUCGGGAAACUGAGGAUAAACCGCGAUAGGUCACUACUUCAGGAAUGGGUAAUGACUUAAACCUAUAUGGCCCCUGGAUUGGACUGCGGCCGAUCAGGCUGUUGGUGAGGUAAUGGCCCACCAAACCUGUAACCGGUACGGGCUCUGAGAGGAGGAGCCCGGAGAUGGGCACUGAGACAAGGGCCCAGGCCCUAUGGGGCGCAGCAGGCGCGAAACCUCUGCAAUAGGCGAAAGCCUGACAGGGUUACUCUGAGUGAUUUCCGUUAAGGAGAUCUUUUGGCACCUCUAAAAAUGGUGCAGAAUAAGGGGUGGGCAAGUCUGGUGUCAGCCGCCGCGGUAAUACCAGCACCCCGAGUGGUCGGGACGUUUAUUGGGCCUAAAGCAUCCGUAGCCGGUUCUACAAGUCUUCCGUUAAAUCCACCUGCUUAACAGAUGGGCUGCGGAAGAUACUAUGGAGCUAGGAGGCGGGAGAGGCAAGCGGUACUCGAUGGGUAGGGGUAAAAUCCGUUGAUCCAUUGAAGACCACCAGUGGCGAAGGCGGCUUGCCAGAACGCGCUCGACGGUGAGGGAUGAAAGCUGGGGGAGCAAACCGGAUUAGAUACCCGGGUAGUCCCAGCUGUAAACGAUGCAGACUCGGUGAUGAAUUGGCUUCAUGCCAAUUCAGUGCCGCAGGGAAGCCGUUAAGUUUGCCGCCUGGGGAGUACGGUCGCAAGACUGAAACUUAA